RNAcentral lists this ribosomal RNA (300 nucleotides) under uncultured Gelria sp. RNAcentral's name for it is "bacterial SSU rRNA". The stretch from base 52 to 300 matches the Rfam family "Bacterial small subunit ribosomal RNA", at positions 547 to 795 of the family's 1533-position model. Lineage: Bacteria; Bacillati; Bacillota; Clostridia; Thermoanaerobacterales; Thermoanaerobacteraceae. The record is from RNAcentral.
GGUGAGGGCGUGGAAGUAGAGUGUGUAAUGAGGAGUGUGCAGGUGUUAAUCGGAAAUUGUGGGGGGUAAGGGUGGGUAGUGGGAAAGUUAAGUCAGAUGUGAAAUGCCGGGUGUCAUCCCCGGAGCUGCAUCUGAAACUGAUUUUCUAGCAGAAUGGCGGAGAAAACGGAAGUCCACGUGUAGCGGUGAAAUGCGUAGAUAUGUGGAAGAACACCUGUGGCGAAAGCGGUUUUCUAGCCUACUCUGGACGCUGAGGCACGAAAGCAAGGGGAGCAAACAGGAUUAGAUACCCUGGUAGUC